UACAGAGGCCCCGAGCGUUAUCCGGAAUUAUUGGGCGUAAAGGGUGUGUAGGUGGCGUUGUUAGUCGUAUGUGAAAGCCCGGGGCUCAACCUCGGAUCCGCGUGCGAAACGGCAAUGCUUGAGUAUGUGAGAGGUAAGCGGAACUCAUGGUGUAGGGGUGAAAUCCGUUGAUAUCAUGGGGAACACCAAAAGCGAAGGCAGCUUACUGGCACAUUACUGACACUGAAACACGAAAGCGUGGGUAGCGAAUGGG
RNAcentral lists this ribosomal RNA (253 nucleotides) under uncultured bacterium. Its description in RNAcentral is "partial 16S ribosomal RNA". It matches the Rfam family "Bacterial small subunit ribosomal RNA", at positions 524 to 776 of the family's 1533-position model. The record is from RNAcentral.